RNAcentral lists this small RNA (467 nucleotides) under Pan troglodytes (chimpanzee). Its description in RNAcentral is "retained intron". Lineage: Eukaryota; Metazoa; Chordata; Mammalia; Primates; Hominidae. The record is from RNAcentral.
UGUGCUGCUUGUAGCUGGAGGUCCAUCCUUGUCUGAUUGCCUGUCGUUGCCCCUCCCAGAUCAUGGAGGAGUUGGCAGAUGCUCUAAUGUACUGCCAUGGGAAGAAGGUGAUUCACAGAGACAUAAAGCCAGAAAAUCUGCUCUUAGGGCUCAAGGGAGAGCUGAAGAUUGCUGACUUCGGCUGGUCUGUGCAUGCUCCCUCCCUGAGGAGGAAGACAAUGUGUGGCACCCUGGACUACCUGCCCCCAGAGAUGAUUGAGGGGCGCACGCACAAUGAGAAGGUGGAUCUGUGGUGCAUUGGAGUGCUUUGCUAUGAGCUGCUGGUGGGGAACCCACCCUUUGAGAGUGCAUCACACAAUGAGACCUAUCGCCGCAUCGUCAAGGUGGACCUAAAGUUCCCCGCUUCUGUGCCCACGGGAGCCCAGGACCUCAUCUCCAAACUGCUCAGGCAUAACCCCUCGGAACGG